Molecule: ribosomal RNA, 255 nt
Filed under: uncultured bacterium
Lineage: Bacteria
Description: partial 16S ribosomal RNA
Rfam family: Bacterial small subunit ribosomal RNA
Source: RNAcentral
UACGGAAGGGGGCUAGCGUUGUUCGGAAUUACUGGGCGUAAAGCGCACGUAGGCGGAUAUUUAAGUCAGGGGUGAAAUCCCAGAGCUCAACUCUGGAACUGCCUUUGAUACUGGGUAUCUUGAGUAUGGAAGAGGUAAGUGGAAUUGCGAGUGUAGAGGUGAAAUUCGUAGAUAUUCGCAGGAACACCAGUGGCGAAGGCGGCUUACUGGUCCAUAACUGACGCUGAGGAGGCGAAAAGCGUGGGGAGCAACAGG